This 73-nucleotide transfer RNA is filed under the name Saitoella complicata NRRL Y-17804. It matches the Rfam family "tRNA". Rfam says of the family: Transfer RNA (tRNA) molecules are approximately 80 nucleotides in length. Their secondary structure includes four short double-helical elements and three loops (D, anti-codon, and T loops). The record is from Rfam by way of RNAcentral. Lineage: Eukaryota; Fungi; Ascomycota; Saitoellomycetes; Saitoellales; Saitoellaceae.
GCUUAAUUAACUCAAUUGGCAGAGUGAUCAUUUUGUAAAUGGUAAGCUAGAUGUUCAAAUCAUCUAUUGAGCA